Molecule: ribosomal RNA, 633 nt
Filed under: marine sediment bacterium BB0608_2216_5.1_7G0
Lineage: Bacteria
Description: bacterial SSU rRNA
Rfam family: Bacterial small subunit ribosomal RNA
Source: RNAcentral
CUUCUAUGACGUUAGCGGCGGACGGGUGAGUAACACGUGGGCAACCUGCCUGUAAGACUGGGAUAACUUCGGGAAACCGAAGCUAAUACCGGAUAGGAUCUUCUCCUUCAUGGGAGAUGAUUGAAAGAUGGUUUCGGCUAUCACUUACAGAUGGGCCCGCGGUGCAUUAGCUAGUUGGUGAGGUAACGGCUCACCAAGGCAACGAUGCAUAGCCGACCUGAGAGGGUGAUCGGCCACACUGGGACUGAGACACGGCCCAGACUCCUACGGGAGGCAGCAGUAGGGAAUCUUCCGCAAUGGACGAAAGUCUGACGGAGCAACGCCGCGUGAGUGAUGAAGGCUUUCGGGUCGUAAAACUCUGUUGUUAGGGAAGAACAAGUACGAGAGUAACUGCUCGUACCUUGACGGUACCUAACCAGAAAGCCACGGCUAACUACGUGCCAGCAGCCGCGGUAAUACGUAGGUGGCAAGCGUUAUCCGGAAUUAUUGGGCGUAAAGCGCGCGCAGGCGGUUUCUUAAGUCUGAUGUGAAAGCCCACGGCUCAACCGUGGAGGGUCAUUGGAAACUGGGGAACUUGAGUGCAGAAGAGAAAAGCGGAAUUCCACGUGUAGCGGUGAAAUGCGUAGAGAUGUG